This 1459-nucleotide ribosomal RNA is filed under the name Lacticaseibacillus paracasei. RNAcentral describes it as "bacterial SSU rRNA". It matches the Rfam family "Bacterial small subunit ribosomal RNA". Lineage: Bacteria; Bacillati; Bacillota; Bacilli; Lactobacillales; Lactobacillaceae. The record is from RNAcentral.
CGUGCCUAAUACAUGCAAGUCGAACGAGUUCUUGUUGAUGAUCGGUGCUUGCACCAGAGCAUUCAACAUGGAACGAGUGGCGGACGGGUGAGUAACACGUGGGUAACCUGCCCUUAAGUGGGGGAUAACAUUUGGAAACAGAUGCUAAUACCGCAUAGAUCCAAGAACCGCAUGGUUCUUGGCUGAAAGAUGGCGUAAGCUAUCGCUUUUGGAUGGACCCGCGGCGUAUUAGCUAGUUGGUGAGGUAAUGGCUCACCAAGGCGAUGAUACGUAGCCGAACUGAGAGGUUGAUCGGCCACAUUGGGACUGAGACACGGCCCAAACUCCUACGGGAGGCAGCAGUAGGGAAUCUUCCACAAUGGACGCAAGUCUGAUGGAGCAACGCCGCGUGAGUGAAGAAGGCUUUCGGGUCGUAAAACUCUGUUGUUGGAGAAGAAUGGUCGGCAGAGUAACUGUUGUCGGCGUGACGGUAUCCAACCAGAAAGCCACGGCUAACUACGUGCCAGCAGCCGCGGUAAUACGUAGGUGGCAAGCGUUAUCCGGAUUUAUUGGGCGUAAAGCGAGCGCAGGCGGUUUUUUAAGUCUGAUGUGAAAGCCCUCGGCUUAACCGAGGAAGCGCAUCGGAAACUGGGAAACUUGAGUGCAGAAGAGGACAGUGGAACUCCAUGUGUAGCGGUGAAAUGCGUAGAUAUAUGGAAGAACACCAGUGGCGAAGGCGGCUGUCUGGUCUGUAACUGACGCUGAGGCUCGAAAGCAUGGGUAGCGAACAGGAUUAGAUACCCUGGUAGUCCAUGCCGUAAACGAUGAAUGCUAGGUGUUGGAGGGUUUCCGCCCUUCAGUGCCGCAGCUAACGCAUUAAGCAUUCCGCCUGGGGAGUACGACCGCAAGGUUGAAACUCAAAGGAAUUGACGGGGGCCCGCACAAGCGGUGGAGCAUGUGGUUUAAUUCGAAGCAACGCGAAGAACCUUACCAGGUCUUGACAUCUUUUGAUCACCUGAGAGAUCAGGUUUCCCCUUCGGGGGCAAAAUGACAGGUGGUGCAUGGUUGUCGUCAGCUCGUGUCGUGAGAUGUUGGGUUAAGUCCCGCAACGAGCGCAACCCUUAUGACUAGUUGCCAGCAUUUAGUUGGGCACUCUAGUAAGACUGCCGGUGACAAACCGGAGGAAGGUGGGGAUGACGUCAAAUCAUCAUGCCCCUUAUGACCUGGGCUACACACGUGCUACAAUGGAUGGUACAACGAGUUGCGAGACCGCGAGGUCAAGCUAAUCUCUUAAAGCCAUUCUCAGUUCGGACUGUAGGCUGCAACUCGCCUACACGAAGUCGGAAUCGCUAGUAAUCGCGGAUCAGCACGCCGCGGUGAAUACGUUCCCGGGCCUUGUACACACCGCCCGUCACACCAUGAGAGUUUGUAACACCCGAAGCCGGUGGCGUAACCCUUUUAGGGAGCGAGCCGUCUAAGG